Long non-coding RNA from Triticum urartu, 552 nucleotides. RefSeq lists it as uncharacterized. NCBI's taxonomy places the organism in Eukaryota, Viridiplantae, Streptophyta, Magnoliopsida, Poales, Poaceae. The record is from RefSeq and is a predicted model, not a curated record.
CUACUCCUACUAGGGAUCCCCAUCUCCUUCGAGUUGCACCCCUCUCGAAGCCAGCCGUCGCCAUGCCCUGAGUGAGGUGAUGGCAGAAGACAACAAUGAUACAUCAUAGAUGGAGCUCGAGGCAAUGCUGCGAAGAGUGUCAAAUGGAGAUGGCUUCUCAUGGUAGUGAGGAUGUGUGUGUGUAAGAGACGCACACCUUAUUUUCUAAUGGUCUUGAAGUCAAUUAGGCAUACACUUGGAGUUUUUAUAUCGUGUACCCUAAAUUGUGACAUUUUAAUAAAUUGUUUAGAGUAUGUGAUGGUUUUUUUUCUGAUGUGCAGUGUCAUAAAGGUGGAUAGUUGUUCAGCAAAAUGAUAUAUGUACUUCAAGCUGGUAUCAUAAAAAAAUAUUUGCUUCGGUGUUCUGAAGUUUCUUGAUGAAGUGUAAUAUAUUUGACCAUUAGAGACACCCUUCACCAUAAGGCAUAUAUGUACCAAUGAUGUUAUUUCUUGAAGCCAAUUUGAAAUUGUAUAUCUCUUGUGAGUAACAAGUAAACUGCUCAUGUUGAUCUUA